Molecule: ribosomal RNA, 515 nt
Filed under: uncultured Dehalococcoidia bacterium
Lineage: Bacteria; Bacillati; Chloroflexota; Dehalococcoidia
Description: bacterial SSU rRNA
Rfam family: Bacterial small subunit ribosomal RNA
Source: RNAcentral
GAGGCAGCAGCAAGGAAUUUUGGGCAAUGGGCGAAAGCCUGACCCAGCAACACCGCGUGGGGGAUGACGGCCUUCGGGUUGUAAACCCCUUUUACUAGGGAAGAAUAAAAUGACGGUACCUAGUGAAUAAGCCCCGGCUAACUACGUGCCAGCAGCCGCGGUAAGACGUAGGGGGCAAGCGUUAUCCGGAUUUAUUGGGCGUAAAGAGAGCGUAGGCGGCUUUUCAAGUCGGAUGUGAAAUUUCCCAGCUUAACUGGGAGGGGUCAUUCGAUACUGUUAGGCUUGAGUGCAGCAGGGGGAAACGGAAUUCCCGGUGUAGUGGUGGAAUGCGUAGAUAUCGGGAGGAACACCAGAGGCGAAAGCGGUUUCCAAGGCUGUUACUGACGCUGAGGCUCGAAAGCGUGGGGAGCAAACAGGCUUAGAUACCCUGGUAGUCCACGCCAUAAACGAUGGAUACUAGGUAUAGGGAGUAUCGACCCUCUCUGUGCCGAAGCUAACGCUUUAAGUGUCCCGCC